GUGAGAAACUCAUUCCCCAGAGCAACAGUGUAGAGAGGUGGAACCUGAUGGGAGCCCCGCCCUCACAGACAAACUCCUGUAGCUGUCAAGACAGCUUGGGCAUGGAUUCCUCUCUGCCUUCUGCCAUGUGGACACGUGGCCUUCCUCCCCUCUCUCCUCCGGGGAAUGCAGUGUUUGGGCGCCAUCUUGGAAGCAGAGAUCAGGCCUCACCAGACACCAAGCCUGCUGGCACCAUGACCCUGGACUCCCAACCUCCACAGCUGGGAAAGAACUCUGCUCCCUAGAAAUUACCCAGGCUCGCUCAGGCACCCACUGACUCCAGCCUCAUGGAACCACCAUUCACCAGGCUUGAGGGGAGGAUGUCACGGCGCGCUGCUCCCUUCGGUGCCAGCCAGGAUGGGGCCGGGUGGGUGCAGCUGGUGAAAAGAAAUGCAGCCCCCCAGCCCCUGCAGACCAAGCCGAACAGCCCAGCUCGCGGGUGGAUCACAGGGCACCCAGCAGCCGCCUUCCCUCCGGAAGAGCCAAGAAGGCUUCCAAGACCAGAAAUGCCCCCAGUGUGGCUGUGCCUGUCCCCGGUGCCCCGCCAGCUGGGGGGCAGCAUACCCAAACAGAUGCACCCUGCCCAUGAUGGCACCCCAGGGACCCCCAUCCUCAGGACCCUCCAGUCGUUCAAGCUGGAAUUGGCAGGUUUCUGCCUGUAUAGGCAUCGGCUUCAGAGUCUCAGGUGCUGCUUGGCAGGAAAAUGCAGGGCAGGAGGGGCUGGGCCUCAGCUCGAGGCUCCCAGGUGCAGCCCCCCACUCCACUGCAGGGCCCAGGGGGGCCAAGAACAGCCACAACAACAACAAAAGCCAAACUGGGAACGGAAUCGUGGAAAAAACCCUCAUAGGCUUUUGGGAACUUACAAAGAAAUGCCCACAUCCAUUCUACUAACAUGGCAUCUACUAACGUGGCAUCUACUAGGAUGCCACAAAACAGACAAAUCCUUCCACGUAAGGCUGGACACGUGUCAGGGCGGUGUCUCAAAGCUGGGCCACAGGCAGCAUCCACGGCCAGGCCACUGGGUGGAGGAGACGGUGCUGGGGAGGAGCCGGAGGGAGGGGCCGGGGCUGUUCCCUUAGGCAGAACGGCUCACCUGUGGUGUGCGCACAGCAGGAUUGUGGGGACACAAGAUGCCCCCUUCAUUCAUCAGUUACUUGUAUUCUUUGUAUGAAACACCUGCCGAUAAAAUGUGAAAAAGGGGC
RNAcentral lists this long non-coding RNA (1241 nucleotides) under Homo sapiens (human). RNAcentral's name for it is "HSALNT0289763". The record is from RNAcentral. Lineage: Eukaryota; Metazoa; Chordata; Mammalia; Primates; Hominidae.